CACAUUUUGAACUGCAAAAUGCAUCCUUAAACUGAAGAAUGUAUCCUUAAUUCUGGUUUUUAAAUAACCCUUAAAAAUCUAUUGGCCUGAAACUUUGACCUUAUGCACCUGCACAUUUUAUAGACAAAGGUUGGUAGAAACAGACUUCAUUGACUUCAAUUGAUGCUUCAUAGAGUCAAGGAUUUCUAAGUUAUGUAAUUUCUAAGUCAUGAUCCUGAGCACUGAGGCUAGACCAGGCCUCGGUAUCUCUCCAACACCACCCUCUUUUAAAAAUAAGGUAGCAGCAAAUCAAUAGUAGAACCAUGUUUGCAUAGAACUUGUUAAAAUGCUCUGGUUUCAUUAAACGUUAAGCCAAUAAAUAAAUAAAUUUUUACUUAAUUAAUAAAGCCACCUGCAAAGACAAAUAUCACAUGAUUUCACGUCUAUGUAAAAUCUACAACAGAUGUUUUCCUUGAAAUGGAGAGUUGCAUAGUGGUUACCAGAGGCUGGAGAGUGUAGUCUGCAGAAGGAGAUGGGAAAAGUUUGAUCACCGAUACAAUGUUAUGCUGGGUGUAGUGGUGCAUGCCUGCAAUCCCCACAGCUCUGGAGGCUGAGGCACAAGGAUUGCGAGUUCAAAGCCAGCCUCAGUAAAAAUGUCUCUAAAUAAAAUACAAAAUAGGACUGGGAUGUGAUUCAGUGGUUAAGUUCCCCAGAGUUCAAACCCUGGUCCCCCCGCCCACACACAAAACAGCUUUUAUACACAAUGGAAUAUCACUCAGCACUAAAAAAGGACAAAAUCAUGGCAUUUGCAGGUAAAUGGAUGGUGCUAGAGAAGAUAAUGCUAAGUGAAGUUUGCCAAUCCCAAAAAACAAAUUCUGAAUGUUUUUUCUAAUCUAAGUGGGGUGACUCAAAGUGGGGUAG
RNAcentral lists this long non-coding RNA (900 nucleotides) under Marmota monax (woodchuck). Lineage: Eukaryota; Metazoa; Chordata; Mammalia; Rodentia; Sciuridae. The record is from RNAcentral.